GUUUUAAUAGUUUAAAAAAAACGCCGGUCUUGUAAACCGAAAAUAAGAACGAGCCCCCCUUUUAAAACC
Molecule: transfer RNA, 69 nt
Filed under: Fer nigripennis
Lineage: Eukaryota; Metazoa; Arthropoda; Insecta; Orthoptera; Acrididae
Description: tRNA-Thr
Rfam family: tRNA
About the family: Transfer RNA (tRNA) molecules are approximately 80 nucleotides in length. Their secondary structure includes four short double-helical elements and three loops (D, anti-codon, and T loops).
Source: RNAcentral